AUGGCACGACCAUCCCCCGGCGAGCAGCUCCUUCCAUGGUGCUCGUACGGCUCCUACCUCUCCACGGCUGUGAUGCUCGUCACCUUGUCUGCCUCCGCCGGCAGCUGGACACGCGCCCUCUCCAUAGCCGUCGCAGCCAGGUGCUUCGGUCGCCAUGGCCAAGCUGCACCCGGCCACGGCGACGGCGGCGAGUUUGUGCUGGAACCGAGGGGCUUUGCUGGAACCGAUAUUUUUUUGCUGGAUCCACCAUUUUGUUUUGCUACAACCCCUUUGUUUUUUGCUACAUCCUCAUUCGUUUUUUUGAACAUCUUUGUUUUUUGCUGGAACUGGUGCCCCUGUCUGCUGCAACUAGCUGGUGUAUGUGCUACAAGGUCGGUGCCUCGCCGGGGAAGCUACAUCGAGCAGCAAGGAGUGUUGUAUCCAACGCCGUUCGAACAUCGGGAGCUGCAAUCAUGCAUGCCGGAGCUGCAACCGGCUGCUGGGGGAGCUGCAAGAGAGGGUGGCAAUUUUUUGCUGAUGCAUUUUUUGCUGAACCAAUUUUUUGUUUUUGCUGGAACCGGUGUAUUUUUUUGCUGGAACCAAGAUAAUUUUUUGCUUCAUCGGUUGCAGAGCUCUCAAAUGCUCAUGUCAUUUUUGUUGGCACCUAAGUUUGUUUUUGCUAGAAGCAUUUUUGAUUUUGCUUCAACCGACCACCGGACUUCGACCUGGGGUGAAGUUUUUUGCUGGAAGAUUUUUGUUGCUUCCAGAUUUUUUGCUGCUUGGCACUCGAACCCGGCGAGCUGGAGACGCAGAGAUGAUGUAGCCAGCCACCCUGACUGCUAG
Molecule: ribosomal RNA, 822 nt
Filed under: Triticum aestivum (bread wheat)
Lineage: Eukaryota; Viridiplantae; Streptophyta; Magnoliopsida; Poales; Poaceae
Description: partial small subunit ribosomal RNA
Source: RNAcentral